UACGAAGGGGGCUAGCGUUGUUCGGAUUUACUGGGCGUAAAGCGCACGUAGGCGGAUUUUUAAGUCAGGGGUGAAAUCCCAAGGCUCAACCUUGGAACUGCCUUUGAUACUGGAAGUCUCGAGUCCGGGAGAGGUGAGUGGAACUGCGAGUGUAGAGGUGAAAUUCGUAGAUAUUCGCAAGAACACCAGUGGCGAAGGCGGCUCACUGGCCCGGAACUGACGCUGAGGUGCGAAAGCGUGGGGAGCAAACAGG
This 253-nucleotide ribosomal RNA is filed under the name uncultured bacterium. Its description in RNAcentral is "partial 16S ribosomal RNA". It matches the Rfam family "Bacterial small subunit ribosomal RNA", at positions 524 to 776 of the family's 1533-position model. The record is from RNAcentral.